UAUAGCUACUGAGUGAUUGCACAAAUCCUUAUAAUUGCAUUCAAAAGAGAUCUGUCAUGAGCAUAACAAAGCAUCUCAUGAAAGAUUCAAGCCCAGACACUGGGAGUGUUGACAUUUCAUGAAAGAUUUGGCUGCAACUAUCGUGGGGCUUCCCAGGUGGCAAAGGGGUAAAGAAUUCACCCGCCAGUGCAGGAGAUGCAGGAGACGCAGGUUCGAUCCCUGGGCCACAAAGAUCUGGAGGCAGAAAUGGCUACCCUCUCCAGCAUUCUUGCCUGGAAAAUCCCAUGAGCAGAGGAGCCUGGCGGGCAGCAGUCCAUGGGGUAACAAAAAGUUGGACGUGACUAAGCAUGCACACACGCACACUGUGAUCAAGGGCUAUGUGAGAACUUAACAAUAACUCGAUGUAAUUAUUUAGCACAAAACUCAGAGGUAGGAAUUGGCAUCUCCACUUCAGAGAUAAGGGAAUGAGUAUCAGAGAGAUUAAAUCGCUUACCCAGGGUCACACAGCUUUGUUCAAAGCCCAUAAAAGGGACAUGUGCUAACAGAGGACGAAUGCAAGAAUUUUGAUCUCUUUGUAACUCUAAGCUGUAACUUAAACAAGUAAGACCUGAGAGGUUCCACUCUUUCAGUUAGAGGCAAAGGCGUGAAAUGCUGAAGCCAAAAUUCCAAACCCAAGUAAUUCUGACUUCUGCAUCACUAAGCUCUACUUUCAGGCCCAGCCAGUCCUUUCCAGGCCUUGCUUUUAUUCAUCUGUUCACCCAGAAGAGACAGGCCUCAUUGUGUAGCUAUGAGGAAAAAUUCAUUAAUAGAAAAUUGGUAAACCUAUCGGCAAUAGCAAACAUCAAGAUGCUUAUAAUUAACUUGAGAAAAAGAGAUGGCCUGGGAUGUUUACUUGCAUCAAACACUGGGCUUCUCUCUGAGUCCAGCCUGCUAAAGCUGCUUCCAUCCAGAGAGGCCUCUUGGUGAAGUCGAAUGUCAUUAAAUGUAGAGAAGGUUCAGGGCAGAGCUGUUCAGCAGGAAAACAAUCGAGGCAAGGUCACAUGGUGAGCAAGGGCUCUAGAAGUAAGUGCUAAUGUCUGUGCAAUGUGCAGUUCAUCUGUUCUUGUGCCAUCAACAGAACGAUGGUCCCCCAAAGAUAUCCACGCCCUCACGCCCAUAGUGAGUGCAUUGCCACACGUGGCAAAAGGGACUUUGCAGCUGAUUUUAAAUUAAGGAUGUUAAGACAGGAAGAUUAUCCUGGAUUGUUCAGGUGGACCCAUUGUAAUCAUAAGGAUCUUCAUCAGAGAAGAGCAGAAGAGUCAGAGAAGGAUGCAAUGGCAGAAGAAGAGGUCAGAGACAGAAAUUUGGAGAUGCUCCCCAGGGGGCUCUCAAGGUGGAGGAAGAGGCCAUGAGCCAAGAAAUGGAGGACGUCUCUAGAAAUGAACCAGUGAGGAAAUGGAUUGUCCCCUAGAGUUUCUAAAAGGAACACCUUGGGGAUUUUCCUGGUGGUCCAGUGGUUAAGAAUCCACCUUGCAAUGCAAGGGACUUGGGCUCGAUCUGUGGUCAGGGAACUGGGGUCCCACGUGCGAUGAGCAACUGGGCCUGUGCGCACCGCGAUGAGACAAUCUGUAUACCACAGUGAAAGGACCCACAGGACACAAUGAAGUUUCCAAGUGCCACAGCUAAGACCCGAAUCAGCCAAAUAAAUACAUAUUUUUGUUUUUCUUAAAGAAAGAAGCCUCUUGAUUUAGUCUGGUCAGAGUUGUUUUGAACUUCUGGCUUCCAGAACUGCAAAAUAGCACAUUUGUAUUGUUUUAAGUCACUGAACAUGUAACAGUUUGUUACAGCAGCCCCCUGAUAAACCUUCUGUAUGCUGUAUGGCAGGGGAACCUUUUCUUCCACAACUUCUACGGGGAGGCAGCACACCUAGACAUGGGGGUACCACACAGGACGGCCACCACACACUACCCCACUCCCCGCCAGCAGAGCAGGAAGAGUGACGCAUGGAGGCCUGUCUCUCCACUGGAGUCGGUGACAGGGCAGGAUAAACCCAGGACUUUAUUCACACCUUUAAACAUCCACGAGAUACACUGAUUGUUUACUGCAUCUGAGUAUUGCUAGACCUCCUUACUUCUGAGUGACAUAAAAAGUGCUGACUUUCUGCUGAACGCCUGUGACUCAGCACACCUGUGGAAAGCACGCACCCCAUCAGGGCUGCAUCUGUCUUACUCAAUGUGUCGUGUGAGCCCAGCAUCACGCCUGGAUGACUGUGAGAAGUGCCAUCACCAUUCCUGACACCAUUAGGUCACUUCCUGGUUGGGACGGUGGUGAUGUGCUGGGAAACGGUGCGUGGACCCCUCUCGUGGUGUUGCCUAUGACUGGUUUGUUCCUCAGCGCCAUGAAACCAGGGCAGAUUCCUGAGGGCCAGCUGCCUCAUGGUGUAACAAACGCUUUUAAUGCCAGUUUCACUUCAUGACAUCAUUUCUCACCACUCUCCGUGCCCGCCAGACAAGCCUGUUUGCGGCCUGUGUGGGUGGCUCUCACUGAUGGCUCCUUUGUCCUUCGGCACAAGAGGUAUUUAUUUCCACAUUGCAUGUUUUUUACUUUCUCUCUACAAAUUCACAGCCGUCUUGUCUACCUCAGUAGGAAGCCAGGUGCACUUCUAUUAAUAGACCCCCUUCCCAGGUUCCAUGGCUCUAACCUGAUCCUCCCUCGAACUCAUGUCUCCUGUUCUUACUGUGAUUGGAUUCAUGAGGGAAGAGUCAGGUGGUCUCUUUUUGACCAGUGGUCAAUUUUAUGGAUCGUGUGUAAUCCCCAGGGAAAUUGUAAGCCUCGAGAGGGGAGGAAUCGUGUCUUCAGUCUCCUUCCUGUUAUAUUUUUGCCAAGACAUCAAUUAGCACAGCAUUUGGGCUUCAGUGAGUAUUUGACAAAUAGUUCUAACUUGUUUUGUUCUCUCUUUUUAAGAUUUUUUAAGGUGGACUAUUUUUAAAGUCUUUAUUGAAUGUGUUACAAUACUGCUCCUUUUUCUUUUUAAUGUUUUGGUUUUUAGGCCACAAGUCAUGUGGGAUCCUUGCUCCCUGACCAGAGAUCAAACCUAGAUCCCCUGCAUUGGAAGGCUCAGUCUUAGCCUUCCAGGGAAGGCUCCUGGUCUGUUCUUUUCUGCAGGUGGAGAAGCGGACCUUGGUUUUGCUGGGGUUUCACCCUUGAGCCCCCGGCCCUUCACUUACAAAAUGAGGCAGUGGCUGGACCAUGUCUAAAGGCUCUUUUAGGUCCAGAGUCCCACGGGCAUAUUUCUGUCUUAAGCGAUGUCCCCCAGUCUGCCCUCUCCUUUCCUGCUGCUACUAUCUGACCCCUCUGAAACCCUCCCACCAUCAUCAGCAGUCUGGAGGCAUAUUGGAUACUCACGGUCGGCCCGGCCAGCCCCAACACUCAGGAGCACUCUACGUGUGGGGCAUGGCCUUCUGAACAGAUCUAUGGAGGGUCUCCUUGUGUUUGAAUAAUGGGCAGACAUGAAUAUAAGCAGCAUUUUGGGGUUGCCGCUCCAAAUGCCUUCCCUACUCAGAUUAACAAGACUUCUUCCCCCUUCCUCUCUUGUAUCUACUCAAAACACUGCCUGCCCUGGAAGCCCUCUCAACGCCCCCCUGAGACGUGCCUGUCUCGUGCAAGAGCUAUGGAUGCCAUUCCAUCACAGACAUGGGGAGGAGGAGAUUACCUGCACAGGUGGCUUCACAGGAGACGCUGGGGGACUGGAAUGCAAAAGUAAGAAGUCAAGAAACACCCAGAGUAACAGGCAAAUUUGGCCUUGGAGUACGGAAUGAAGCAGGGCAAAGGCUAAUAGAGUUCUGCCAAGAGAACACAGUGGUCAUAGCAAACACCCUCUUCUAACCACACAAGAGAAGACUCUACACAUGGACAUCACCAGAUGGUCAAUACCAAAAUCAGAUUGAUUAUAUUCUUUGCAGCCAAAGAUGGAGAAGCUCUAUACAGUCAGCAAAAACAAGACUGGGAGCUGACUGUGGCUCAGAUCAUGAACUCCUUAUUGCCAAAUUCAGACUGAAAUUGAAGAAAGUGGAGAAAAGCACUAGACCAUUCAGGUGUGACCUAAAUCAGAUCCCUUGUGACUAUACAGUGGAAGUGAGAAAUAGAUUUAAGGGACUAUAUCUGAUAGACAGAGUGCCUGAUGAACUAUGGACGGAGGUUCGUGACAUUGUACAGGAGACAGGAAUCAAGACCAUCCCCAAGAAAAAGAAAUGCAGAAAAGCAAAAUGACUGUCUGAGGAGACCUUACAAAUAGCUGUGAAAAGAAGGGAAGCGAAAAGCAAAGGAGAAAGGGAAAGAUAUUCCCAUUUGAAUGUAGAGUAGAGUUCCAAAGAAUAGCAAGGAGAGAUAAGAAAGCCUUCCUCAGCAAUCAGUGCAAAGAAAUAGAGGAAAACAACAGGAUGGGAAAGACUAGAGAUCUAUUCAAGAAAAUUAGAGACAUCAAGGGAACAUUUCUUGCAAAGAUGGGCUCAAUAAAGGACAGAAAUUGUAUGAACCUAACAGAAGCAGAAGAUGUUAAGAAGAGAGGUGGGAAGAAUACACAGAGAACUGUACAAAAAAGAUCUUCAUGGCCCAGGUAAUCACGAUGGUGUGAUCACUCACCUAGAGCCAAACAUCCUGGAAUGUGAAGUCAAGUGGGCCUUAGGAAGCAUCACUACAAACAAAGCUAGUGGAGGUGAUGGAAUUUCAGUUGAGCUAUUUCAAAUCCUAAAAUAUGAUGCUGUGAAAGUGCUGCACUCGAUAUGCCAGCAAAUUUGGCAUAGUUGGGCUGUGCUUUGCUGGAGCAGCCAUGAAGAGAUACCCUAAAUCCAAGGUUCCCUUUGGCCCACCUAUCAGAGGACACGCAUAUAGGUCUUCAGAAAGAGAAAUACUAGCUCCCGGGUUGAACAUGGGCAGCCAGGAGGACUGGGGCAGUGAGCUCCCAGACAGACAUCCAGGCCCAGCAGUUGCAGCCACCCGCUCUGUGUGUGUAGACGUGACAGCCUUCUGGCCCUCACAUUGAGCCUAAGGUCAACAAGGGCAGCCCUGGAGACCUGAUCAUUUCGUCUUAGUCACAAUGCCUACGUUGUUGGUUGAUAAACACUGGUGCUUGAAGACUUGCUUGUAUAACAUGAACCAACCAUCUGGGCUGUUCUUGGGACUGCAGUGCUGAUCGUCAGAACAUCUAACACAAGGAGCCAAAAGGUAAACAUUCCCAUAAAGCAUAUGUGUGUGGAUAUGUAUGUAAAUCUGUGUGUAUAGACUUAUCAGUAUCAAUCACUAACAAACGCAGUUUCUCUGUCUUUGCCAGCAAAUUUCCAAGUGGGAUGUAAUUUAAAACGUGAGUUAAAUAAAUACAGAUACGUAGAUGUCAGUUCGGUGCCUCACUGGCUACAUUUCCAGUUUUCACUGUUCGAUGUCACCCUGCGGUUCAUUCCCAGAACAAAGAAGGAAGUGAACUUGCCCACUUCCAGCCACUAAAUGCUGCUUUGCUUGUUCACCAACAGAAAGGAGUGUGAAGAUAUUGAAGGAAAACGCUUCCCUGGGAAGCAUUCAUAGGAGUCCAUCACUUUCUCCUAGGACACAAUUCUUUUUCCAAUCAGGAAAAGAUUCUCUUGAUAAUCAGCUUACCCAUUUCUUCUCCACUCUUCCCCCCCAACUGUGAUUUGGAGGUUGGAAGGACAACAAAAAUAACUUCACAGAGAAGACUAAGGAUUACUCACUAAUUAUGUUCCCUUCCCACUCAUCCGUCUUGCCAAUCUUGAGUUUUGCCAACUUUUUUUUAAAUGUUAAAAAGCAGAAGGAGGAGAAGGCAGCAGAGAACGGGAACAGAUGAGGCCUUAAAUCAAACGUGUUUUCAUGGUCCCAGCAAGGUGUGUUCUCUCAGCGAAUGGCAACCUGAGGUCUACUUGCUUAAGGCCAGUGUCUAAUAGCAGUAGAUGGAGCAGCCCCUUCAGGAUGGAGGAUGAACCAAACUAACAUUAACUCUUUAACACAAUUAUUGUUCUUCAGGGUAUCCAGUGAAAAACAGAUUUGAACAAACACAAUGUAAAAAACUUCAAUGAAAAGAAAUCUGUGAAACAAAAUUCAUAGGAAUGAGUCACUUGUCAAGAGCAUCUUUGCAAAACACUUGGGACUUCCCUGGUGGUCUGGCGGUUAAAAGUCCUGGCUUCCAAUGCAGAAGAACAUAAUUCCUGGUCAAGGAAUUAAGAUCCCACAUGUGGUGCGGCCAAAAAAAAGAAAAAUAACCACACUCUAAAGUGGAGGUCUUCAAACAUUUUUGCUCACAGCUCACCUUUCUUUCCAAAGAAUUUUGAAAAGCUCUGCACUCCCUCACCUGUUUUAAAGAUAACUUCCACAGUUUUUCCAUGUAAGUAUCCAUGGUUGCCAAGGGUGUAAUUUCCAGCAGAUUGCAAAUGUUAAUGUUUUAAAAGAA
Molecule: long non-coding RNA, 6433 nt
Organism: Dama dama (fallow deer)
Lineage: Eukaryota; Metazoa; Chordata; Mammalia; Artiodactyla; Cervidae
Exons: 3
Source: RefSeq, a predicted model, not a curated record